CGUUCAAGCGAGCCGCGAACGCACCAUAACUCGAUGUUUUACCCGCGCGGAUUUUCUGCAGCUCCGUCCAUACCUUGCGCUGGAACGCCGUGCCGUUGGUCCGCCAUUUGAUCUUUUUCAAUUCGCCAAGAUCGCCGGCAAAAUAACGGGUCAGUGCUGCCGUGAUGUUUUUGGGAGCCGACGCACGUUCCAGCACGUAGUCCCCAUAGUGCCGCCGCGAUGCAGCCGUGUCUCGUAGUCGCUCCAGUCGAGCGCGCGCAGGAAGCCCAGAUCGUCGGUGACGAGCAAGGCGG
Molecule: unclassified non-coding RNA, 293 nt
Filed under: Hevea brasiliensis (rubber tree)
Lineage: Eukaryota; Viridiplantae; Streptophyta; Magnoliopsida; Malpighiales; Euphorbiaceae
Source: RNAcentral